UACGAAGGGGGCUAGCGUUGCUCGGAAUCACUGGGCGUAAAGCGCGCGUAGGCGGCUUCUUAAGUCAGGGGUGAAAUCCUGGAGCUCAACUCCAGAACUGCCUUUGAUACUGAGAAGCUUGAGUCCGGGAGAGGUGAGUGGAACUGUGAGUGUAGAGGUGAAAUUCGUAGAUAUUCGCAAGAACACCAGUGGCGAAGGCGGCUCACUGGCCCGAUACUGACGCUGAGGUGCGAAAGCGUGGGGAGCAAACAGG
This 253-nucleotide ribosomal RNA is filed under the name uncultured bacterium. RNAcentral's name for it is "partial 16S ribosomal RNA". It matches the Rfam family "Bacterial small subunit ribosomal RNA", at positions 524 to 776 of the family's 1533-position model. The record is from RNAcentral.